GAACAGGAUAAAAGAAUACUGGAAGUAUUGGAAAGCUGUCAAAGAAACCACUAUUACAAACUCACCCAAAAUAAUCUUAAAAUUAAUUAAUUCAGCAUUACUGUUUCCUUUGCAAUGUGAUUAUAUGAGCAAGCAGCUGGAUUACUGAGAGCAUCCAGCUCACAUUUCCUCUUUUGAAACGAGCUGUGGAAAUCUUUAUACCUUGCCAGGAAAGAAAUAGAGAUGCCAUAAAAGCUUUGUCCCAGGAGUUCCCCUUACAGAUGCCACAUGUCCAAGGAGGGGCCCUCACGUCAUCCCUCACUAUGGGUGCUCCUGAAAGCAGAAGUCACUUCAUGGACCACUGCUUUCAGUGUCUGUGGUGAGGGCAGUGAGCCUGGUUCUGCUCCAACUCUAGUGGCUUCUUUAUUCAAGAGAGCAGUGGACAGCGGUAGCCAGGAAGAACACUUCUGACUGAGAGGGUAAGAAAGGGUUCUGUGGCAAGGCUUCAAAGGAUUGCAGUGGGGCUGCUGCAAGCCAGCCAGAGCAAAUACAGAGAGGGGAUGGGAAAAACAGGGUAAUGAUAAUAAUGGAGUUGCACAAAAAAGUCUGAAUCUUGAGUGGUAAUAUUGCUGAAGAUGAUAGGAGGUAAAGUUAGUGGCACAGUCAAUAAAACAAAAAGUGUGCAGAUGAACA
This 672-nucleotide long non-coding RNA is filed under the name Cyanistes caeruleus (blue tit). RNAcentral describes it as "lncRNA (ENSCCEG00000022291.1)". The record is from RNAcentral. Lineage: Eukaryota; Metazoa; Chordata; Aves; Passeriformes; Paridae.